This 377-nucleotide unclassified non-coding RNA is filed under the name soil metagenome. RNAcentral's name for it is "partial contains 5.8S ribosomal RNA, internal transcribed spacer 2, and large subunit ribosomal RNA". The stretch from base 1 to 120 matches the Rfam family "5.8S ribosomal RNA", at positions 35 to 154 of the family's 154-position model. The record is from RNAcentral.
GAUGAAGAACGUAGCGAAAUGCGAUAAGUAAUGUGAAUUGCAGAAUUCAGUGAAUCAUCGAAUCUUUGAACGCACCUUGCACCCUUUGGCAUUCCGAAGGGUAUGCUCGUUUGAGUGUCAUUGUACUCUCACACUUCCGAUCUUUGGAUUGGGAGCGGUGGACUUGGGUGUUGCUGCUUACUGUGGCUCACCUCAAAUCGAUUCGUGCACCUCUUGGUUGGACAUAGUACGGCGUGAUAAGUGUCUUCGCCGGCACCUCAGUAGAGGGUGGCUGAUCGGGAGCUCUGCUUCAAACCGUCCUCUGACAACAACUGACAACUUGACCUCAAAUCGAGUAGGACUACCCGCUGAACUUAAGCAUAUCAAUAAGCGGAGGA